UACGUAGGGUCCGAGCGUUGUCCGGAUUCAUUGGGCGUAAAGAGCUCGUAGGCGGCUCAGUAAGUCGGAUGUGAAAACUCAGGGCUCAACCCGGAGACGCCAUCCGAUACUGCUGUGGCUUGAGUCUGGUAGGGGAACACGGAAUACCUGGUGUAGCGGUGAAAUGCGCAGAUAUCAGGUGGAACACCGAUGGCGAAGGCAGUGUUCUGGGCCAGUACUGACGCUGAGGAGCGAAAGCGUGGGGAGCAAACAGGA
This 255-nucleotide ribosomal RNA is filed under the name uncultured prokaryote. RNAcentral describes it as "partial 16S ribosomal RNA". It matches the Rfam family "Bacterial small subunit ribosomal RNA", at positions 524 to 777 of the family's 1533-position model. The record is from RNAcentral.